Molecule: ribosomal RNA, 671 nt
Filed under: Inocybe subcarpta
Lineage: Eukaryota; Fungi; Basidiomycota; Agaricomycetes; Agaricales; Inocybaceae
Description: eukaryotic LSU rRNA
Rfam family: Eukaryotic large subunit ribosomal RNA
Source: RNAcentral
UUGACCUCAAAUCAGGUAGGAUUACCCGCUGAACUUAAGCAUAUCAAUAAGCGGAGGAAAAGAAACUAACAAGGAUUCCCCUAGUAACUGCGAGUGAAGCGGGAAGAGCUCAAAUUUGAAAUCUGACGGUUGUUGACCGUCCGAGUUGUAAUCUAGAGAAGUGUUACCUGUGCUGGACCGUGUACAAGUCUUCUGGAAUGGAGCAUCAUAGAGGGUGAGAAUCCCGUCUUUGACAUGGACUACCUGUACGUUGUGGUACGCUCUCAAAGAGUCGAGUUGUUUGGGAAUGCAGCUCAAAAUGGGUGGUAAAUGCCAUCUAAAGCUAAAUAUUGGCGAGAGACCGAUAGCGAACAAGUACCGUGAGGGAAAGAUGAAAAGAACUUUGGAAAGAGAGUUAAACAGUACGUGAAAUUGCUGAAAGGGAAACGCUUGAAGUCAGUCACGUCGGCUAGAAAUCAGCCUUGCUUCUGCUUGGUGUACUUUCUGGUUGAUGGGUCAGCAUCAAUUUUGACCAUUGGAUAAAGUCUCUGGGAAUGUGGCAUCUUUUUUUAGAUGUGUUAUAGCCCAUUGUCGCAUACGGUGGUUGGGAUUGAGGAACUCAGCAUGCCCUGCAAGGGGCCAGGUUUCGACCAUGUUCAUGCUUAGGAUGCUGGCAUAAUGGCUUCAAUCGA